Molecule: transfer RNA, 75 nt
Filed under: Streptomyces sp. SID13588
Lineage: Bacteria; Bacillati; Actinomycetota; Actinomycetes; Kitasatosporales; Streptomycetaceae
Description: tRNA-Leu
Source: RNAcentral
GUCCGCCUAGCCCAACUGGCACGAGGCGCGCGGCCCAAACCCGCGAGGUUCCCGGUUCGAACCCGGGGGCGGACA